CCUACGGGGGGCAGCAGUGAGGAAUAUUGGUCAAUGGGCGUAAGCCUGAACCAGCCAAGUCGCGUGCGGGAUGAAGGUCCUAUGGAUCGUAAACCUCUUUUAUAAGGGAAUAAAGUGCGGGACGUGUCCCGUUUUGUAUGUACCUUAUGAAUAAGGAUCGGCUAACUCCGUGCCAGCAGCCGCGGUAAUACGGAGGAUCCGAGCGUUAUCCGGAUUUAUUGGGUUUAAAGGGUGCGUAGGCGGCCUUUUAAGUCAGCGGUGAAAGUCUGUGGCUCAACCAUAGAAUUGCCGUUGAAACUGGAAGGCUCGAGUGUGUGAGAGGCAUGCGGAAUGCGGGGUGUAGCGGUGAAAUGCUUAGAUAUCACGCAGAACCCCGAUUGCGAAGGCAGCCUGCC
This 395-nucleotide ribosomal RNA is filed under the name uncultured bacterium. RNAcentral's name for it is "partial 16S ribosomal RNA". It matches the Rfam family "Bacterial small subunit ribosomal RNA", at positions 338 to 730 of the family's 1533-position model. The record is from RNAcentral.